GACGUAGGGCGCGAGCGUUGUCCGGAUUUAUUGGGCGUAAAGAGCGUGUAGGCGGCCUGACAGGUCUGCUGUGAAAACUCGAGGCUCAACCUCGAGAUGUCGGCGGAAACCGUCUGGCUAGAGUCCGGAAGAGGAGAGUGGAAUUCCUGGUGUAGCGGUGAAAUGCGCAGAUAUCAGGAGGAACACCGGUGGCGAAGGCGGGUCUCUGGGCCGAUACUGACACUGAGACGCGAAAGCGUGGGGAGCGAACAGG
This 253-nucleotide ribosomal RNA is filed under the name uncultured bacterium. RNAcentral's name for it is "partial 16S ribosomal RNA". It matches the Rfam family "Bacterial small subunit ribosomal RNA", at positions 524 to 776 of the family's 1533-position model. The record is from RNAcentral.